Molecule: ribosomal RNA, 119 nt
Organism: Fistulifera solaris
Lineage: Eukaryota; Bacillariophyta; Bacillariophyceae; Naviculales; Stauroneidaceae
Source: Rfam
AAAAAAGACCAUACUACGAUUACAGCACCGCUUCCCGUCUGCUCAGCGAAGGUAAGCAUCGUCAGGCCCGGUUAGUACUACGGUGGGGGACCACGUUGGAAUCCCGGGUGUUGUUCUUU